AGUAAUCGACUGAAUGCUCCCAAUGUAUACAAUCAUUUCAAAAUAUUUUCUGCUUAACUAGCAACAUGGAGAAUACAUGAGUUCACAUCAAUCAUAAGAACCCGCCAUCAUACAAUUUGACUUAGUAACCAUCUGGAUUCAAAAUGGAGACUACUGUUAACAAUGCAAAAUGGCUGCCCUCAUGCUCAAAUAAAGAAAAUAAAGAAUUCGAAAUGGCUGAGAAUUUAAUCGACGAGGGUGGAGGGGGGCAGAGUUUUGUUUUUCAUGUACAGUACUGAUAAUAUUUAAGGUAGAAUGAUGUCAUGUUAAAGAGUAAUUAAGGCUGUUAAAAGACCAAAAUAUGCCAUGGUGUCCCACGGCUAUUCUGGCAAAUAAGGUCAUGGAAUUUAUCUAUGUAACUUAAACCAAAGAUUUUAAAAAAUAAUAAUAAACGUGAUGUGUGCGACAAUUGUUUUUGGGUCCAUACAUUGUGUUUUUUGCUCGUAAAAGAUUUGGAAAUCAAGUUUAGAAAACAGGGUCAGAAUGCAAAAUGCAAAUCAAUAUUUUUUUUUUAUUUGUUGGUCUUUGGGAUCAUAAUAUAUUUAUCAUAAAGAAUAGUCACUAACGUGGUACUUGAGUGCUAGAUCUUUCCUAACAGGUCCGGAAGUAACAAAUUAAAGACACUUUGACAUUCUGAAAACAAAUUACUUUGAGGCUUAUUCACUAAACACCAAUUGCAGCGAAUUCAAACCCAAAUUUAUUGAAAUUUUGAAAUAGUUCUCCAGAACGACAAUAGUCAUAUUCUGAAUAUUUUAGUGUGUAUUUUUUUUAUCUUGCUGUUUAGUAAAUAAACUCUUAUUGUAUCACAAUAUAAAGAAAAAAAAUGUAAUCCACAUAUUGCAAAGCAGAUGCCUAGGUUAC
This is a non-coding RNA of Pelobates cultripes (western spadefoot toad), 900 nucleotides long. Lineage: Eukaryota; Metazoa; Chordata; Amphibia; Anura; Pelobatidae. The record is from the annotation of a GenBank genome assembly.